This 465-nucleotide ribosomal RNA is filed under the name Vreelandella stevensii. Its description in RNAcentral is "partial 16S ribosomal RNA". It matches the Rfam family "Bacterial small subunit ribosomal RNA", at positions 338 to 795 of the family's 1533-position model. The record is from RNAcentral. Lineage: Bacteria; Pseudomonadati; Pseudomonadota; Gammaproteobacteria; Oceanospirillales; Halomonadaceae.
CCUACGGGUGGCUGCAGUGGGGAAUAUUGGACAAUGGGGGCAACCCUGAUCCAGCCAUGCCGCGUGUGUGAAGAAGGCCCUCGGGUUGUAAAGCACUUUCAGUGAGGAAGAAAGCCUGGUGGUUAAUACCCAUCAGGAAAGACAUCACUCACAGAAGAAGCACCGGCUAACUCCGUGCCAGCAGCCGCGGUAAUACGGAGGGUGCGAGCGUUAAUCGGAAUUACUGGGCGUAAAGCGCGCGUAGGUGGCUUGAUAAGCCGGUUGUGAAAGCCCCGGGCUCAACCUGGGAACGGCAUCCGGAACUGUCAAGCUAGAGUGCAGGAGAGGAAGGUAGAAUUCCCGGUGUAGCGGUGAAAUGCGUAGAGAUCGGGAGGAAUACCAGUGGCGAAGGCGGCCUUCUGGACUGACACUGACACUGAGGUGCGAAAGCGUGGGUAGCAAACAGGAUUAGAUACCCUUGUAGUC